GAUUAACGCUGGCGGCGUGCAUAACACAUGCAAGUCGAACGAUGAAACUUAACUGAUUUCUUCGGAAUGAUUUUAAGUGGAUUAGUGGCGGACGGGUGAGUAACGCGUGAGUAACCUGCCUUGGAGAAGGGGAUAGCCUUUGGAAACGAAGAAUAAUACCCUAUGAUAUGAUAAUAUCUCAUGAUAUUAUCAUCAAAGAUUUAUCGCUCUAAGAUGGACUUGCGUCUGAUUAGUUAGUUGGUGAGGUAACAGCUCACCAAGGCAGCGAUCAGUAGCCGGCUUGAGGGAGUGUACGGCCACAUUGGGACUGAGACACGGCCCAGACUCCUACGGGAGGCAGCAGUGGGGAAUUUUGCACAAUGGGGGAAACCCUGAUGCAGCGACGCCGCGUGAUUUAGAAGGCCUUCGGGUUGUAAAAAUCUUUUGUAUGGGAAGAAAAUGACAGUACCAUACGAAUAAGGACCGGCUAAUUACGUG
Molecule: ribosomal RNA, 477 nt
Filed under: uncultured bacterium
Lineage: Bacteria
Description: partial 16S ribosomal RNA
Rfam family: Bacterial small subunit ribosomal RNA
Source: RNAcentral